Regulatory RNA element from Hoeflea phototrophica DFL-43, 99 nucleotides. It matches the Rfam family "Pyrrolysine insertion sequence mttB". The record is from Rfam. NCBI's taxonomy places the organism in Bacteria, Pseudomonadati, Pseudomonadota, Alphaproteobacteria, Hyphomicrobiales, Rhizobiaceae.
UUGCCGAUUCCAAGCUGCCCGACAUGCAGGCCGGUUGGGAGCAGGCGACCUCAAACGUCAUGGCGGGGUUGAGUGGGCUCAACAUGGUCUAUGAGUCCG